GUCCCUGUAGUGCAAUGGAUAGCACGUUGAACUUCCAAUCCAAAGGUCAUGGGUUUAAAUCCCACCUGGGAUU
Non-coding RNA from Trichonephila clavipes, 73 nucleotides. Lineage: Eukaryota; Metazoa; Arthropoda; Arachnida; Araneae; Nephilidae. The record is from the annotation of a GenBank genome assembly.